GGCUCUGUGGCGCAAUGGAUAGCGCAUUGGACUUCUAGCAAAGCUCUAGUGAAGAGAUUCAAAGGUUGUGGGUUCGAGUCCCACCAGAGUCG
Poecilia formosa (Amazon molly) is the source of this 92-nucleotide non-coding RNA. The record is from Rfam. NCBI's taxonomy places the organism in Eukaryota, Metazoa, Chordata, Actinopteri, Cyprinodontiformes, Poeciliidae.